UACGAAGGGGGCUAGCGUUGCUCGGAAUCACUGGGCGUAAAGCGCACGUAGGCGGCUUUAUAAGUCGGGGGUGAAAGCCUGUGGCUCAACCACAGAAUUGCCUUCGAUACUGUAGAGCUUGAGACCGGAAGAGGUAAGUGGAACUGCGAGUGUAGAGGUGAAAUUCGUAGAUAUUCGCAAGAACACCAGUGGCGAAGGCGGCUCACUGGCCCGUAACUGACGCUGAGGCACGAAAGCGUGGGGAGCAAACAGG
Molecule: ribosomal RNA, 253 nt
Filed under: uncultured bacterium
Lineage: Bacteria
Description: partial 16S ribosomal RNA
Rfam family: Bacterial small subunit ribosomal RNA
Source: RNAcentral